RNAcentral lists this unclassified non-coding RNA (603 nucleotides) under Yarrowia lipolytica. Lineage: Eukaryota; Fungi; Ascomycota; Dipodascomycetes; Dipodascales. The record is from RNAcentral.
UGACUGGACCGGGAUCUGCCUGAUGUCUCCUCAUGUGACCUGUUUCUGCCGUCGUCUCGGACUCUUCUGACUGCCCUGAUCGUCUGGCAGCAUGGUUCAUCGCAUCUCAUCUCAUCAAACAGGCUUAGACUUGCUCGAGCGAGCGUCAGUUGGGAUUUGGAUUGCGUGCGCAUUGCCGAGAAAGCAGGGGAAAGAAUGCUGCCCCUCUUGGCGCCAAGCCGGGAGGUCUUAAAGGUGGAUUUGCGAAAAAAUGCAAAUUGCGACACAUUUUUGUGAGAGUGUAUGGGGAUAUUUUGAUAUGGUUGAGCCCGUGAGAUGGGGACGAAUCCAACGAUACCAUUAAUGAAACUCCCCGAUAUCUGCAGCAAAAGUUGGAAAUUUCGAUGCAAUUCUCGUCUCUUUCUCUUUUUAUAAUCUGAGGCUGUGUUUUGAAGGUUGAGAAGACGCUCUUGGUAUGAGUGAGACCGUCAUGUUGCGGAGAAUCCAAUUCCGUUGCUAUUUCAGUCGCCAGGGCACUGCAUCGAGUGUUGGCUUGUUUCGAUCCUUCAUGCUUGCUAUCAUAAUACGUAUAGUACAUACAUAGCCGACAGAGAUGCAUGUUUG